UACAGAUUUGCCUCUACUCACGAUGGGGUUACGUCCUAAUAAAGCCAGCAGGAGCUGAGGUUAUCACCGAAUCAAAAAUGCAUUUACCCAGACCAUCAGAGCUCGGCCAGGCCUCCCUCACCUGGGCUCCGAAUACCGACAUGAGCCUGCAGGUAUGUGGUACAUGGUAGCCGCUCAGUGCAUGUUUGCUGAAUAAACGGAUGGAACACUGAACUUUGUCCCUCUUUGUACUUGGGGAGCAAAGCCAUUUGGAAAGGCAAAGAAGAUUCCAGUGUGGAUGCCUAGAAGAAACUAGGAUACAGUUCCCAGAAACUUAGAAGGGAGAAGUUUGAGAGCACUGUUUGAGCCAAGCGUCACCCUUGGCAUUGGUUAAAAUGAAAAUACUUCUGGAAGGGCUCAUGCAUUUGGUCUUCUCAGUCACUGCAUCUGAGCAUCACUGAGUGAUACGCUAGGGCAGAGCAAGACUGCUUGUCCCCAGACUCCUUCCUCUUGCGUCUGGCACUACCAGAUGUUUCCCAGCCUCCUUUGUAGUCAGGAUGCAUUCGUGAAGAAUGGGGCCAGGGAGCUGGGGAGCAAUCCAAGCCACCCUCUCCAUUUUGAGGCACUGGUGACUGAUGACAGUAAAACGUGCCUGGAUUUCAACCUGAAAGUUCUAGAUGAUCCCUGUAGGUAAACAACAGGCCUGUACAUCCUACAAGGUGAUUGUGUGUAUUUGGAAAGUGAAGGUUUUCAUGUUACAUCCGAAAGAGGGGAAGCUAUUUGGGUAUGAAACUAUCACCUUGGGAUUCCUGGGUGGCUCAGUGGUUUAGCACCUGCCUUCAGCCCAGGGCGUGAUCCUGGAGACCUGGAAUCGAGUCCCGCAUCAGG
Long non-coding RNA from Nyctereutes procyonoides (raccoon dog), 867 nucleotides. RefSeq lists it as uncharacterized. The transcript has 4 exons. The record is from RefSeq and is a predicted model, not a curated record. Lineage: Eukaryota; Metazoa; Chordata; Mammalia; Carnivora; Canidae.